GCAAGUCGAGGGGUAACAUUGUAGCUUGCUACCUGCUGACGACCGGCGCACGGGUGAGUAACGCGUAUAGAAUCUACCUUGUACUGGAGAAUAACCAGAAGAAAUUCUGACUAAUACUCCAUAGUAUGUAUGGGCUUCAUGGCCUUUACAUUAAAGAUUUAUCGGUAUAAGAUGACUAUGCGUUCUAUUAGCUAGAUGGAGUGGUAACGGCACCCCAUGGCAACGAUAGAUAGGGGCCCUGAGAGGGGGAUC
RNAcentral lists this ribosomal RNA (252 nucleotides) under uncultured bacterium. RNAcentral describes it as "partial 16S ribosomal RNA". It matches the Rfam family "Bacterial small subunit ribosomal RNA", at positions 57 to 305 of the family's 1533-position model. The record is from RNAcentral.